RNAcentral lists this small RNA (67 nucleotides) under Lentibacillus persicus. Its description in RNAcentral is "Bacillaceae-1 RNA". It matches the Rfam family "Bacillaceae-1 RNA". Lineage: Bacteria; Bacillati; Bacillota; Bacilli; Caryophanales; Bacillaceae. The record is from RNAcentral.
UGUAGGGGAGCAAAGGCUAAGUUCGCAACGUCCUGUUGCAACGCCUUUGUGACCUGCCUAGUGCAGG